UACGUAGGGGGCAAGCGUUAUCCGGAUUUACUGGGUGUAAAGGGAGCGUAGACGGCAGAGCAAGUCUGAAGUGAAAGCCCGCGGCUCAACUGCGGGACUGCUUUGGAAACUGCCCGGCUAGAGUGCUGGAGAGGUAAGCGGAAUUCCUAGUGUAGCGGUGAAAUGCGUAGAUAUUAGGAGGAACACCAGUGGCGAAGGCGGCUUACUGGACAGUAACUGACGUUGAGGCUCGAAAGCGUGGGGAGCAAACAGG
RNAcentral lists this ribosomal RNA (253 nucleotides) under uncultured bacterium. RNAcentral's name for it is "partial 16S ribosomal RNA". It matches the Rfam family "Bacterial small subunit ribosomal RNA", at positions 524 to 776 of the family's 1533-position model. The record is from RNAcentral.